GAGUUUGAUCUUGGCUCAGGACGAACGCUGGCGGCGUGCUUAACACAUGCAAGUCAAGGGGGCCCGCAAGGGUAACCGGCGAACGGGUGCGUAACACGUGAGCAAUCUGCCUAGAUGUGGGGGAUAGCCGGCCCAACGGCCGGGUAAUACCGCAUACGCUCACUGGGUGGCAUCACCUGGUGAGGAAACAUUCGUGGCAUCUAGAGGAGCUCGCGGCCUAUCAGCUAGUUGGUGGGGUAACGGCCUACCAAGGCUUUGACGGGUAGCUGGUCUGAGAGGAUGGCCAGCCACAUUGGGACUGAGAUACGGCCCAGACUCCUACGGGAGGCAGCAGUGGGGAAUAUUGCGCAAUGGCCGAAAGGCUGACGCAGCGACGCCGCGUGGGGGAUGAAGCAUUUCGGUGUGUAAACCCCUGUUGCUCGGGACGAACAACUGGUUUCGACCAGUCUGACGGUACCGGGUGAGGAAGCACCGGCUAACUCCGUGCCAGCCGCCGCUGUAAC
This 503-nucleotide ribosomal RNA is filed under the name uncultured Gemmatimonadota bacterium. RNAcentral's name for it is "bacterial SSU rRNA". It matches the Rfam family "Bacterial small subunit ribosomal RNA", at positions 9 to 524 of the family's 1533-position model. Lineage: Bacteria; Pseudomonadati; Gemmatimonadota. The record is from RNAcentral.